Molecule: ribosomal RNA, 254 nt
Filed under: uncultured bacterium
Lineage: Bacteria
Description: partial 16S ribosomal RNA
Rfam family: Bacterial small subunit ribosomal RNA
Source: RNAcentral
UACGGGGGGAGCAAGCGUUGUUCGGAUUUACUGGGCGUAAAGGGCGCGUAGGCGGUCAGCACAAGUCAGUUGUGAAAUCUCCGGGCUUAACCCGGAACGGUCAAGUGAUACUGUCGGGCUAGAGUGCAGAAGGGGCAACUGGAAUUCUCGGUGUAGCGGUGAAAUGCGUAGAUAUCGAGAGGAACACCUGCGGCGAAGGCGGGUUGCUGGGCUGACACUGACGCUGAGGCGCGAAAGCCAGGGGAGCGAACGGG